AAUCACUCCCAGGACAGCUUCUGCUCAACGCAAAUGCAAGAGGCUACAAGAGACAACUUAGAUGCUGACCUGGACAUGAGAACACUGGAGCAUGAGUAAACAUGAAAGAAGCAGAUUUGGGGAGCAGCUGUUGAAGGAAGAGCUUGAGGCUGUGGCUCUGGGGCUGGAGAAGGGAUUCUACGCUUGGGAAGAAAUUGACCUGGCUCAUGAUUCACAGGGCUUUACUCCUCUUAUCAGUGCCUGCAGGAGGGGUCUUACUAAGGUGAUGCAGUUCCUUCUGAAAAGAGGAGCCGAUGCUAUGUUGUGUAACCAUAGCAACCAGACAGCUCUUCACGUUGCACUCCAAGAGGAGCUGUUGACGGCUAUGAUCAGACGUACCCCAUCAGAGGCAGCUCUCACUAGCAGCCUGGAGGGGAGACCUCUGCUGUCUACAGGACCUGAUGGUGAGCGGCUCAGACUUCAACUUCCACUUGCCAUUUGA
Molecule: long non-coding RNA, 481 nt
Organism: Cyprinus carpio (common carp)
Lineage: Eukaryota; Metazoa; Chordata; Actinopteri; Cypriniformes; Cyprinidae
Source: Ensembl